Molecule: long non-coding RNA, 3185 nt
Filed under: Equus caballus (horse)
Lineage: Eukaryota; Metazoa; Chordata; Mammalia; Perissodactyla; Equidae
Description: lncRNA (ENSECAG00000057285.1)
Source: RNAcentral
GUAGUAGUCUCCUUGCAGGAAGCUUCCACUGGCCAAUUUGGGUAAUUUGAGCAUAAGAACAAACAAUUAUAGUAACAUAUUAAAACCCAUUAAGUAAAAUAGGAAUCCAUGAGUCCAUAUUGAUAUACAUAAAUACACAAUUAAAUAGAUGAAGAGAAAAAUUCUUCUUGUAGCUGCCCCUGACAUAGGAAGGGUUAAUAAUCACUGGAAAAAGCUUGCCAACAAACUGUGACCCGGAGGUGAGAAGGCCGGUUAGCCAAUGACGGGUAAGACCCCCUGGGGGGGCAACCUAAGCCAGGCGGCGGCCGCCCGGGGGCACAGAUGGAGAAACGAUAUCGAUAUCGGGCGCAAGAGGGACCGUUGCCUAAGAGACUUUGCCUGCUCUGAGAUAAAAAUAUAGGAGCACAGCAACAACAUGAUAAUAUCAAAACAGAGGCCAAGGGAGGGCUCCUUGAGAAAUCACUAAGAAUUCUUGGCAUUCGCUAAUUACUUCAUCCAGAACACCUGUGUAUGUUUAACAGAUGUAAGCUAUGUAUAUAUUGAAACGCUGGUUAUAAUAAACUCAGAGUGGCCAUCAGCCCUCUCCGCAUCUAUCCUGAUGUGUACAUUGGAUUGCGACACCGACAUAUGGUGACCCCGACGUGAUCCAAGAUCGGCGGCAUUAUUGCAGAGGAUGGCACAUCAGCUGCAGAAAGAUAUAUGGGUCAAACUCAGAACCAUAUGGCCCAACAAAGGCCGCAUGACACACAUCUGUUUUGACACAAUAUCUUGGCAAAGCGUGGAUUAAAACGUCCUUAUGCGGAUAUCUGGGAGGGCCCUUUUAUGGUUAAAUGUGGGAAGAGAGGAGCUCUUUGUGUUUUGACAGAUAAAGGCAUUGAGUGCAUUCCAUCAAAACGCACACGGCCUGCUCUGGAAUAACCGAAAAAUGGACAAACGGAUAAGUAAAUCAGUUUUUUUCUUUUUCCUCUUUUCUUCUCUAAUGCAUGUUGAGGUGAUUUCAGAGCAUGAGAAUCUCACAUAUUGGGCCUUUAUUCCUAAUCCUCCUCUCUCUACUCUGGUUACUUGGUGGCUUGCCAAUCCCCCUUUGUCCUCUAAUGAUUCUGAUUGGACAGGAGGAACCGGGGUACCCCGACAACAACAUACAGGCCUGCACCAAAAGGAAGAAGAACCUCUGGUGAGGUAUGCUAACAAUUCACCUUUUUGUAUGGUUUAUUAAAACAAAAGCACAACAUGUGUCGCCUUUCAGGAACAAAUGUAUUUUAUUACCAACCUAAGAAAGGACAACAGGCAGCCAAUGUGACAUACAUUACUGCUAUAUCAACAUCUUACGAAGACAAAAGUAAUGUCAUACAAGUUCCUUCCAUCCCAAUUUGCCAUCCAAAAACUGAUUGGUGUUACAAACAUUACUCAGUACAGUGGUCCCCUUGCCAUACAGCGUAUCCAAGGCAGGGCAACCUCUUUGGGGCCAACGUACUGAAUUAGGGACCUCAUGGACAUCUUUUGAGUGACAGUCAUACUUGGGCCUUCAACAGAUCAAGUCAGAAACCUAUAACAUGGAGCGAACACGGCCUAUCUGGACCCCUUUUACAACUAUCUCACAAUGAGACAGUGUGCAGCCCCCUCACAAAGGAAUAUGGAGGAUCGGGUUGCCUUUUAUAUCAGGACAAUUGUCCCAUGGCAAGUAUGGGAAUGAAACUGGCAAUUAUUUACUAACAUUGGUCAAAAAUGUUUCUCAUACCCUUAUGAUUUGUACCACCCAUCCUUAUGUGUUAUUAUGGGGAAACAGUGUCCCUGCUAUCCAAGAAUCUUCUGGUAUGUAUGUGGUUAAUAUUUCUCCCCCAUAUUGGCAUUCUGAUUGUUUAACACAUUAUAAUGUAACCUCAUUGAAUGUGACCUAUGUAAUGGUGUUAAAAAGAAGAGCACAUAUUUGGUUACCUGUUUCUCUAAAUCGGACAUGGUCCGAAGAGCAUGAUCUACAUAUCCUCCUUGAGUCCAUGAGAAAAUUAUGCCCUAAGCAGUUUUGGCUACGCUAAUCGGGUUCAUUGUGUCCGCGGUGAUUAUCAUUGCAUCAGCUGCUACAGCUACUACUGCCUUGGUUAACAGUGUUCAAACAGCCCAUAAGGUGGAGUCCGUCUUGGUAAAUAUCACUCAAGAAUUACAGACACAGGUGGAUAUUGAUAAAGGGCUAAUGUCAGGAUUGUAGGCAUUAGAGGCAGCAGUAGAGUGGCUGGGAGAGCAGCAAAAUGCAUUAUAUAUGCAUAUGAAACUAAAAUGUGACUGGCAAUUUACCAUGCAAUGCGUUACCCCCCUACUGUAUAAUAGCUCGCUGACAUCUUGGCAAGAAAUAAAAAAACAUUUACAGGGGGCAUUUAAUACCUCCCUGGCCAAUGACAUCACUGGGCUACAAGCUCGGUUAGAGAGGCAGUUACAAGAAGUACAUAAGGUGUUCUCUCAAAAAAUACUUUAAGACAUUGAAAAUGGGUUACACUGGCUAGAGCCCUCCAAUUGGUUCUCAGGCCUCAAUUUACGCAUAUUUGUUAAUGCUGGUGUGAUUUUGAUAUUAUCUAUGUUAAUAGUUUAUGUUUUACAUCUGCUGUGCUCCCUGAAAAAACAAAGUCAACAAGAGCAAGCAUUGGUUAUGAUGGGCCUUCUGGCCUCAGCACAACAUGAUGCCUUCCUUGCUUUAAAAAACAAAAGGCGGGGAAAUGUAGCUGCCCCUGACAUAGGAAGGGUUAAUAAUCACUGGAAAAAGCUUGCCAACAAACUGUGACCCGGAGGUGAGAAGGCCGGUUAGCCAAUGACGGGUAAGACCCCCUGGGGGGGCAACCUAAGCCAGGCGGCGGCCGCCCGGGGGCACAGAUGGAGAAACGAUAUCGAUAUCGGGCGCAAGAGGGACCGUUGCCUAAGAGACUUUGCCUGCUCUGAGAUAAAAAUAUAGGAGCACAGCAACAACAUGAUAAUACCAAAACAGAGGCCAAGGGAGGGCUCCUUGAGAAAUCACUAAGAAUUCUUGGCAUUCGCUAAUUACUUCAUCCAGAACACCUGUGUAUGUUUAACAGAUGUAAGCUAUGUAUAUAUUGAAACGCUGGUUAUAAUAAACUCAGAGUGGCCAUCAGCCCUCUCCGCAUCUAUCCUGAUGUGUACAUUGGAUUGCGACACCGACACUUCUUUAGAGCAAAAUGCCC